CUAAUCCUAUUGUUGUCAUGGAAUCGUUUUAUCACAUGAUUAAUCUGAGUCUGGCUAACUUGGCUGAGGAACUUCAAAUUCCAUGCCAGUGACUGAUCAAAAUGAAGAAGAUAUAUUUUGCAAAGGAAGCGCUAGCGAUAGCUGAGGACCAUCUUUGUGCCAAUGUUGAAGAGGCUCAUGGACCAACUGGAGUGCGUUUAGGAAGUUUUGAUGACUGUGAGGAUCCAAAACACUUCAUCUGAUCUCAACAGCACAUGUUUGAAUGAUUUAAAUGUUGUAUUUCCAAUUGCGUCUUCUUUUUGUAUGCACUCGAGGUUCAACCUCUCUGUCAGUCAAAUGUGUAGCUGGCUGAUUCUUUUGUAUGUCAUCCUGAUGCAGAGGUGUUUGAUGCCAUUGCAUUCUAAUGUUAUCACACCUGAACUCAGUGAGGCUCUGCAGAGGGAGGUAUGCACUACUAGUCAUACCAUAACAAUGAAAAAAUAACCUAUGUGCUUAUACUAUAUGAGCUAUGGAAUUUCACCUGAAAAUCAGUAAGCAAGUAUGCAUGAGGACAAUCUCCUCCAUUUCUAUCAGUUUAUCAAUGCGAUACGAUCCAUUGAAUAUUGUCAUAUAGGAUUCUGAUUUUUCUUUUUUCAAUUUGAUAAGCUCAGUUCUCAUGCGACGUCGACUUUGUAAAGUUGAAAUUCACCUCCUAGCAAAUUUUAUUGUACCGCUGAUUUUGUUGAUGGGAUAUUGCGAAAUAACCAUGUAACAAAUUCAUCUUUCUGGGGGUGCAGUCUGAGCACCUCAUGUUGGGGGCAUAAUUUUAUUAACGAGGAAAGUGUUGCUAGUUGCUUUCGUCUCCAAAGCUGAAGUGCACUUUCAUCUUUGUGUUCCUAACCAUAAACAAGCAAAGUGUUGCUAGUUGCUUUCGUCUCCAAAGCCUGUUGUUUUCUUUUUCAUUGGCCAGCUGAUGAGGUUUUUGUUCAUUGUUGUCCAACUGCAAUUGGGGCAAAUGAUGCUUUGUGCAUUUGCACCUUAUCUUUCAUGGUGUAUAUUGUGAUGCUCCGAUCUUAGUUAUCUUCAUUCAUUGAUAAUUAGUAAAUCCUAUCCUUCUUGUGUAGAUUCAACUCUUAUUUCAUAAAAUUCAGAUAGCAUCCCCAAACAUCACAGGAAGGAGAUGUGGGCAGGAAUGAGAUAUGUCAUGAGACGUUAUGGAAAGGCGUUCCAAAGUUCUUCACCAUUGGUGCUUAUAAUGUGCUCCAUGUUGUUGAUAUUUUUCUUAUGAUUCAUAAUAUAAAGGGACCUCUUAUAAUGUGUAGUUGUCCUUUGCAAGCUUUGAAAUCGUGCUAUUAUUU
Molecule: long non-coding RNA, 1337 nt
Filed under: Eucalyptus grandis
Lineage: Eukaryota; Viridiplantae; Streptophyta; Magnoliopsida; Myrtales; Myrtaceae
Description: long non-coding RNA (EGRA_LNC007594)
Source: RNAcentral